UGGGGGAUAACGUAGGGAAACUUACGCUAAUACCGCAUACGACCUUCGGGUGAAAGCAGGGGACCUUCGGGCCUUGCGCGGAUAGAUGAGCCGAUGUCGGAUUAGCUAGUUGGCGGGGUAAAGGCCCACCAAGGCGACGAUCCGUAGCUGGUCUGAGAGGAUGAUCAGCCACACUGGAACUGAGACACGGUCCAGACUCCUACGGGAGGCAGCAGUGGGGAAUAUUGGACAAUGGGCGCAAGCCUGAUCCAGCCAUACCGCGUGGGUGAAGAAGGCCUUCGGGUUGUAAAGCCCUUUUGUUGGGAAAGAAAAGCAGUCGAUUAAUACUCGGUUGUUCUGACGGUACCCAAAAGAAUAAGCACCGGCUAACUUCGUGCCAGCAGCCGCGGUAAUACGAAGGGUGCAAGCGUUACUCGGAAUUACUGGGCGUAAAGCGUGCGUAGGUGGUUGUUUAAGUCUGUUGUGAAAGCCCUGGGCUCAACCUGGGAAUUGCAGUGGAUACUGGGCGACUAGAGUGUGGUAGAGGGUAGUGGAAUUCCCGGUGUAGCAGUGAAAUGCGUA
This 561-nucleotide ribosomal RNA is filed under the name Stenotrophomonas sp. R2-6. RNAcentral describes it as "bacterial SSU rRNA". It matches the Rfam family "Bacterial small subunit ribosomal RNA", at positions 137 to 692 of the family's 1533-position model. The record is from RNAcentral. Lineage: Bacteria; Pseudomonadati; Pseudomonadota; Gammaproteobacteria; Lysobacterales; Lysobacteraceae.